AUGAUGUCAAGUUUGCUGUUUAUUUCUGGCUUUUCUGGAAGUCCAAUUAUUCUUAAAUUAUCUCUUCUUCCUCUAUUUUCCAAGUCUGUCACCUUGUCAGUGAGAUAUUUUAUGUUCUCUUCUAAUUUCUUGAUCUUUUGGCUUUGCUUUAUUGAUUCUUGCUCUUUUACCUGCUUGUUGUCUUUGAGUUGCCUAAUUCUGACCUUUAAAGCCUGGUUUUCCUUUUCAGUUUGGUCAAACUGGUUUUGUAGUUGCGUGAAUUUCUUUUGCAUUAUUUCCCACUUUUCCUCCCAGAAGGCUUCCAUCUUUUUGAUCCUUUCUGAUUCAAAUUCUUCAUGGGUUUGUGGAGAGUUUCCAUUUCCUUUGGAAGGUUUCAGAGCAUUUAAAUUUCAUUAAGAUGGAAGUAGUGAAGUUGGAAACUUGAUUCAAAGAAAGGGGGAGGCAGGGAAAAGAGAGGAUGAUGAGAUAAUGGGAUAAGGAGAUGGCAAGAUCAAGUAAAAAGUUUUUUUUUAAAGAAUGAGAGAGGUCUGGGUAUGUUUAGAACGAGGAGGAGAGGGAGCCAUUAUGUAGAGAGAGAUUGAAGAGAGAGAGUAAUGUGAACUUGGAAAUUACUCCACCCUAAUUAGACAUACUUUAGGGGAAGAUAAAGUUGUAAACUCCUGAUUAAACAAUGAAGGUAUUGGGGAGAUUGAAUUGUAAUCCCCAGUCUAUUUUUAGAUUUUAAUCCCCAAAGUGUUAACUCAGUAUUUGAAGUAGAUCUACCCAUUUUAAUCUACAAAAAAGUAACUACUAAAGGUGCGAACUAACUACUAAAGGUACAAACUAACUACUAAAGGUGUGAUCUAACCAAAAAAGGUAUGGACACUCAUUUCAUGCAUUGAGUGGGAGGUCUGUGACCCACGUGUGAAAGAGUGGAUAGUCCUGGAGAAGAGCAUCUGCUGUGAUUGAUAGAUGUAAAAUUUAGGGGAGGUGACAUAAGAGAAAAAGAUCUUUAAAUAGAGGACCACAGAGGCCAGAUGAGAGAUGGUUCAGCUCUCUCUGUCUGUCCUUCUGUCUCUGUCUCUGUCUCUCUCUCCCUCCCUCCCCCUUUAUCUCAUUCCUUAAUAUCUUCGCUCUAUUGAAAAUAAACUACCACAAAUUCCAUUUACUUUAGUAAUU
Molecule: long non-coding RNA, 1158 nt
Filed under: Monodelphis domestica (gray short-tailed opossum)
Lineage: Eukaryota; Metazoa; Chordata; Mammalia; Didelphimorphia; Didelphidae
Description: lncRNA (ENSMODG00000044693.1)
Source: RNAcentral